UACCUGCAGCUCAAGUGGUGGCCGUUAUUAUUGGGCCUAAAACGUCCGUAGCCGGUCUAUUAAAAGCCUGGGUAAAUCGUGUAGCUUAACUAUACGAAUUCCGGGUAGACAGAUAAACUUGAGACCGGGAGAGGCUAGAGGUACUCCUGGGGUAGAGGUGAAAUUCUGUAAUCCUAGGGGGACCACCAGUGGCGAAGGCGUCUAGCUAGAACGGGUCUGACGGUGAGGGACGAAGCCCUAGGGCGCAAACCGGAUUAGAUACCCGGGUAGUCCAGGGUGUAAACGCUGCUUGCUUGAUGUUAGUCGGGCUCCGAGCCCGAUUAGUGUCGGAGAGAAGUUGUUAAGCAAGCUGCCUGGGGAGUACGGUCGCAAGACUGAAACUUAAAGGAAUUGGCGGGGAGCACAGCAACGGGUGGAGCGUGCGGUUU
RNAcentral lists this ribosomal RNA (428 nucleotides) under uncultured archaeon. RNAcentral's name for it is "bacterial SSU rRNA". It matches the Rfam family "Archaeal small subunit ribosomal RNA", at positions 474 to 903 of the family's 1478-position model. The record is from RNAcentral.